UUCUCCCUCUGCCUCACCAUCGUGUUCCUGCUGCAGCUGGCUGCUGGCAUCCUGGGCUUCGUUUUCUCAGACAAGGCUCGGGGGAAAGUGAGUGAGAUCAUCAACAAUGCUAUCGUGCAUUACCGAGAUGAUCUGGAUCUGCAGAACCUCAUCGACUUUGGCCAGAAGAAGGUACCAGCCAAGUGCGCUGUGACCACCCAGUGCCCUGGGGGAGGGGCAAAAAAUGCCUCUCUCUAGGCCUGUGGCUCUCUUUUACCCGAUAAGUAAUGUGUUCUAGGAAGGGCUUUGGGGGCACAGUUGGGGGGCGGCAUGUACUAAGGGCAUAGGAUGCUACAUAUAGCAUUGCAUAUAUGGGUAAUAUAUAUACAUAUACAUAUGUACAUACGUACUUAUAUAC
This 397-nucleotide long non-coding RNA is filed under the name Rattus norvegicus (Norway rat). Its description in RNAcentral is "long non-coding RNA NONRATT020311". The record is from RNAcentral. Lineage: Eukaryota; Metazoa; Chordata; Mammalia; Rodentia; Muridae.